RNAcentral lists this ribosomal RNA (324 nucleotides) under uncultured eukaryote. Its description in RNAcentral is "partial 18S ribosomal RNA". It matches the Rfam family "Eukaryotic small subunit ribosomal RNA", at positions 1470 to 1796 of the family's 1831-position model. The record is from RNAcentral.
CCCUUAGAUGUUCUUGGCCGCACGCGCGCUACACUGAUGCAUUCAACGAGUUUCUUCCUGGUCCGAGAGGAAUGGGUAACCUUUUGAAAGUGCAUCGUGAUAGGGAUAGACUAUUGCAAUUAUUGGUCUUCAACGAGGAAUUCCUAGUAGACGUAGUUCAUCAGACUGCAUCGAUUACGUCCCUGCCCUUUGUACACACCGCCCGUCGCUCCUACCGAUUGAAUGCUCAGGUGAGCCAUUCGGACUUUCAUCAUGCUGGUUUCCAGUUUUGAUGAAGGAAAGUCUUGCGAACCUUAUCAUUUAGAGGAAGGAGAAGUCGUAACA